AUGACCUUGCUGCAGGGUGAGGGGCUGGUAAGGUUGAAAUCUUCCUGUUUCAUGGCCACAUAUGAGCUGUCUCAGCCACCCUCAGUGUCAGUGGCCCCAUUACAGAUGGCCAGGAUCACCUGCUGUGGAAAUACUGUUGGAGGUGGAUAUGUUUAUUGGUACCAGCAGAAGUCAGGCCAGACCCCUGUGCCGGUCAUCUAUAAAGACAGCAAGUGGCCCUCAAGGACCCCUGAGUGAUUCUCUGGCUCCAACUUGUGGAACACAGCCACUCUGACCAUUAGUGGGGCCCAGGCCAGGGACGAGGCUAUUACUGUAGCACCUAUGAUGGCUGAGGGAGCAGCAGGCAGUGGCU
Homo sapiens (human) is the source of this 352-nucleotide non-coding RNA. The record is from the annotation of a RefSeq genome assembly. NCBI's taxonomy places the organism in Eukaryota, Metazoa, Chordata, Mammalia, Primates, Hominidae.